RNA transcript from Cercocebus atys (sooty mangabey), 11825 nucleotides. It is a transcript of the gene named TSC22 domain family, member 2, with no coding region annotated. The record is from RefSeq and is a predicted model, not a curated record. NCBI's taxonomy places the organism in Eukaryota, Metazoa, Chordata, Mammalia, Primates, Cercopithecidae. The transcript is spliced from 5 exons.
UAUGAUUGAAUCAUCACAAUGUAAUUUAUCUUUCUUGAAUAUAUGCAUUUUUGUGUGACAGGCUGAUUUUUUUUUCCUUGGAGGGUAGAGUCAUUGUAUUGAUGAAAUACCAAGGAAACAAACAAAAAUGAAAUGUGGAUAAGCUAAAAAUCUGAAAUUAGAUUAGUUGUUGAGUAAAUAUACACAAUACGCAAAGAAAAAAGAUUAGUAUCAAAAUCCAGAAACAAUGGGGAAGGAUAAAAAUUCUAAACAUUUGAAGAUGAAAAUAUAUUUACAUCUAGUCAAUUUAGUUUAACAAUAGGUAAAUGCCACAAAAAGGGGGUCAAAACAAUACUGUUACCAUUAUUCACUAGGGGUUUGAUGGCCAAAAUUAAAACAACCCUCUGGUUAACUUUUCACCUUGAUUUUGCAUUUCCCUAUGUCUUUAGUUUGGUCACUUCCUUUUCCUCCAAAGAUCCCACAUUAAGGAUGGGGGAAGGGAGUGAAUAUUAAUUUGCAGAGAAGCAGCUCAUUACAUGACCAUUUUGAGUAACACCCAAAUCCUUAUGUAAACAUGGAUCAUGUGUUGAGCUUUUAAUGAGUAUGAAUGCUUUCAAGGUAGGAUUUCAAGUAUUCUAAAGUUAAAUGCUAAAAGUGUUUUGUUUCCAGUGACUAAAGAGCUAGCUAUUUUGGAAUUAAAACAUAACUGGGAAUGCAAGGUAGUCAAGAUUCUAUCUGUACCUUUCAAAACUUUGGCUUCUAUGAAUAAAAGUAGUUCAAUCAGCCAGGUUAGAAUGACCUUCAGAUUAUCAGUCCGGAGCAUUUAGGCUAUCCUUCAUGUGUGAAUACAGUUUAUAUAAGUUUCUACACUCACAUUUUUAAAAACUUUACAAGCUGACAGUAGUAACAUACAGAGGGAAUUAUUACCCCCAAGUCUAGAAAUUUGCAGUCUUUCAAUGUUCUUUUGUGAGUAUUAAAGUUUUACAACUUAAAAUUACAGGUAUACUACAACUUUAAUCAAUACUUCAAAUUCAUAUACAAGAAAGACUAGACAGUGAUGAUUCACUUUGUCAAAGAAUGUGUCAUUGAAAGUCUGUAAAUAGCUCAUCUAUGACAGAAUAUGGCUUCUCCAUAAAAUCAUGGAUAUCUAGUAACUGCUUUCUUCUUUUUUUUUUUGAAAUUAACAAAUGGUAUUGCCAGUAGUAUCACAUUGAGUUGCUAUCUUUUCUUCUGAAGAUGCCAAAGCACUGCCACAUCUGUGACCUUUUUCCAAAGUUUUUCAGUGGGUUUGGUAGUUUAACACCCCUUUACCACAAUGUUAUUUCUUUUUAGUGAUAGGGAAACUGAGGGAUUAAUAGACUUGUCAGCAAUCACAAAACAAGAUUAUAGCAAAACCGGAGCUUACUCUUGAUCUGUCCAACUAGGAAAUGUAGUUUAAAAAAAAACUUUAUCCUGAGUGGCCACAUAUCAUAUUUAAAAAGAAAAAUAAAGAAGUAAUAUAGUCAUUAAUGGAUUUUGUUUGGAUUUUCUGUUGCCCUACAUUGCAGCAUUUAAACAACUUGUAAAACCACAGAGUUAAUAUCUUACAUUCUAAGUUAAAUUCCAUAAAAUAUAAUACAGGCCUUAAUAGGACAUUAUGUUUAUUAUCAGUUUGAAAUGCACCCUUUACUUUUACCAAAUUGCUACAUUUUGCUUGAACAUCAAAGGUCUUUGGACAUCAAGGAAAUCUUCACUAAAAAAAAAAAAAAGACAUCAUUGUUUCACAGUAUAUUAAACUCAAAAAGAGUAUUUAAUAGAAGUUUCCUUAAAACACCUCAUUAUCAAGUAGGCAUUUGUGCAUCUCAGUCAAAUUAUAUUUUUCUUUAUAAAAGUAUUUAUGGAAUUUUAUUAGUCUUAGUUCUUUCUCAUUACAUUUUUUUUCCUUUUUGGGCAAUACCACACAACGGACUCACUGAAGGGGUUUAUUAAUAUGAUAUUGUUCCAGAAAUGGAACCCUAGGAAAAUCAUACUAAUAAAUCAAGUACCACUUAUUUAGACAACUGAUAUUUAUUUCUACCAAAUGCUUUCUGGAACCUGAAAACUAUUUCUCCAUUUUGUAUUUUUCUAUUAGGUUGGCGCAAAAGUAAUUGUGGUUUUUGCCAUCAUGUAAGUGGCAAAAACCACAAUUACUUUUGCACCAAACUCUAAUAAUUUGGUAAUAAAAAACACAGAAAAUAAGCAUAAGCUAUUUCUAAACUCCGGAAAAAAUUGUUAACUGGGCUAUAGGUAGUCCAAUUCUUAAUACACAACACAGAGAAUGUUCAAUAAAUGUCACUGUCUGGUAGUAUUAAUGCUAAAGGGUUACUUCUCUUUGCCUAGGCCGUUGCUUAAUUUCUAUGGAAAGUAUUUUCUUUAUCCCAUAAUGUUUAAUGUAUCAUUAUUAUUUUAAAUAUAUUAUAUCUUCAUUAAAAAAAAAGUCAGGUUUUCUUGAGUAUCUAGAGUUUACAUUCCAGGAUUUUCUAUGAAAUAAUGCACCAUCUGGUACUGAUAUGGUUAGAUAAUAACCUAUGAAAAUUUGGGGGUAUGAUGUUUGCAGAUGAUGAAAAGAUCUUGCUGUAGCAGUUUUUUAUUUUAUAUCAGUAGAAAUUCUCCUUAAUUUUUAACUGCUAUUAUUCUCCUGUAUUAUGUUUUAUAAAUGUACCUCAUGCAUCACUGCAAUUUGAAAUAUUUGAAAAAAGUACCAGGUACAGAAGAAACAGUCAAAUUGGGGGCUCUAAGAGCAGUAAUCGAGGAUUCCCACAGCCUCUAGUAUGGUCUCUGGGUGCAGGCAUGCAGCCUGGUAACUGCAUUAAGACUCCUAGUCUUGAGGUUUGGGACUCCAGGGAUCUCUUUCUUCCAGUGAGUUAGGCUACCAUGUUACUUAUUAACAACACUCUAUACAGGGAGAAUAUGUACUUGCAUAUACAUCCUGCUUUCUAUCAUUUAAAUUAGUUAUUUAAAGGCUUUCAAUUCUCUGUGGACCAACUUAUGAAUUACAUACUUUUUUAUUUAGAUAUAACUAUGCCACUUUUUGUCCUCUACAUUGAUUUCAAACUUAAUUGCAAAAAUCAGAAUUCUUAUUUCUUCAUAGCAGUUUGAUGUAAUAAAUUCUGUACAUUUUUUUAAGGGCAAAUGUAUAAAAGUAGCUAGGGCCUUUAAACUUUUGGAAAACAGUAUUUUCAAGAGAACUAUUAAACACAAACACAAAUCCUUAAACAUCUAAACGAGACUUUUAAAAGUUAUAAAUCAUAUGCUUUUCCUAAGAUGUCUUUGAACACCUUUAGCACCCUCAUUACCAGAAAUUUAGUCCACUUCUGGAUCUCUUCUAAAUUAUCUUUAUCUUUCCUUUCAUCUCAUAAUAUAUCCUUUUAAGGAGAAAUGGUCUUACAGAUUACUUUAAGAUUUUUCCUUUAAAUAUAUGAUUUAAGAGUAUUACAACGAGUAAUCAAGAAGUUUAUAUGAUAAAAUAAUGUAAAGGGAUGAGCAGGCAUAUAAUACUCAUUUUUCCAAAAGCACCACCAUCAACACUACCCAUUGAUAACCACCUUAAACAAUCUGGUAAAUCAAUCCAAAAUUAACUUAAGCUUUUAUAAAUUCAUAUUGGAUUUAACCAUUUGAUCUAAUUUAUUGAUGGAAAACUGCCUCUGACAAUUACUGAAAUUACAGAUUUAGAAAAGAAACAUUCCAUUAGCUAUCGCUGCCACAAUAGCAUAACGUUACAUUUUAUUCCAUUACUUUCGUCCACCCCCUUAAGAAACAGGGAUUUUAUGUGGUCUUAUUUCACAUUCUGACUCUAGUCACUUGGGUUUGGAGGGCAUGGUUUCCACUAAGAUUAAAAGACCUAGUUGUAUAAAUUACAACUAAAGACCUAAAAAAUUCUCUGCAAAUCUAAUUCUCAAAACACCUUUUGGGAUUAAAAAGUAUUUCUAUUCUUCAAAGAUUAGAGAACCGAGUUCAACGAUUUACUGAUUUAAGUUAUCAUAAUGUGAUUGCUAACGCUGCAGUAGAUAUGAAAUCUCGAUUUCCAUUAAGACUUAGAUUUUACCUAAAUGAUGACUGCUUUAGUAUGUCAAAGUUUAGGAGCCCAUCCCCAUUUUUUUUUAACUGCUUAAAAGAAUGGCCUUACCAUUUUCUUUGGCCAGGAACUAGCUACAAGAUGAUAAAUUUGCCAGUACUUUCUUUUCAUAGUUAUGCUUUGUACUGCAACAGGAAAGGGUGCUUUAUAACUCGUUAUGGUUGUUUGUGGCCCAAUCCAAAUCAUAUAACACCCUGGCUGCUACUAACAGUUUUAGAAUAAACAAAAAGAACUAUAAUGCAGUAGGUUCUACAUUUAUAAAGCCUAUAAACUGAUUUCGUGCCGAAAGUAAAAACAGUGUCAGGAGUUUAAAUGAAUCCUGGAAUCACAGCAAAUUCAGGAAAUUUAGGAAUACGUUAGUAACCAUUAAGCUUUUUAAAAACUGACUUCACCCUGGGCAAGUAACCAUCCCCUGAUGCCGUUGUUGGAGACAGAAUUUCUGGCAGGAAGAUAAUUUUCUGACUCAAUCUGGCUUGCUGUUCUUGUUUAAUCAUCCCCAUUUCUCUGAACAUUUUACUCCUCUGACGACAAUGGUCAACAUUUAUUUUCAGAAGUUUUAAAGUGAUUUAGUUCUUCCAGCCGCAUCUCUCUUUAUCCUAUCUAAGUUUUCCCCAGCCCCCAUUCCUAUCGCCCUCGUUUCACUAAGAUUUUGCUAAACAUUAGACACAAGCACAUGACCUCCAGUCUUCCAAUGUCUCGGAACAAACCGACGUAAAAACAUCUGAUUAGUUCCAUUGUAAGCUUCCCUAGGCUUGGAAUUUAAAAAUUGUCUUUAGCUCGUCAAUUCUUAAAGAACCUUCAACACAAAAUUUAAAUUUAAAAAAUUUUAAAUAAAGAAACCGCUCCCUUUUUUAACCUUUAGCUCCGCCCAUUGCCCCCCCCCCAGGUUCCACGCGAUACUGCAGGAAACCGGAGGGGGCGGAGCGGUGACGUCACGACGCCGGUGCGUCACGGAACGGCGGCGGCUGCGGCGCUGGCGGUAGCUGCGGCAGCGGCGGCAUUUUAGUCGGCAGCGGCGGCGGCAGCGGGGCUGCUGCUUCUCCCAGCAUCCCUGGCGCGGCCAUUUCAGCCCCAUCUUGGCCCAGCGGAGGGAGCUGCAGCCGCCGCUUCAGCAGUUUGAAUUUCAGUUUCUCCGGGGUUUAGGAAUUGGGCGCACCGAGAAGGAGCCGAAGAAGCCACCACCGCUACCUCACAUAGCCGGGGUGCCUCCGCUCCCGUGCCAGCGGUCUGCCGCCGCCGCCGCCCCUCUGUGAGAGAAGCCGCGAGGGGAGGCCGAGACCGCCGUCGCCGCCCGCCCGCCCGCAGGGGUGGUUCCCCCUGUAAGGGGAGGACCGAGCCGGCUUUCCCCUCCCCCAGAGCGGGUUUCCGCCAGAGACAGUCGACAUGUCCCUGGGGUUGAGCUCCGGCUAGAGCCGGGGAGGGAGGGCCGCCUGCCCGCGCCGCAGCCCCACCGCCCGCCGGCGGACCUUCAGCCAGUCCCGGUCCGCGGCUCCCGGCUGAAUCAGGCAUCUCCGACUCCGGACUCGCCACUCCUUCCCUCAGUCGGAGAGCCCAGCGCUGACGCCGGCACCGGCCUGAGGAGCCCGAGCGGGGCAGCACCGCCCCUCACGCCGCCGCCACCGCCACCGCCUCCUCCUCCUCCUCCUCUUCGCCCUCCCACUCCCACCCCCAGCCAAGGCCUGCUGACCGCGCCGAGCGCCGAGCUGGACUGACCACGGCUGCCGGGAGACGGGAGAGGAAGCAGCCGGCCCGCCCCUGGGUUCGCGCUCUCGCCGCCUCUGAGGGAAUUGAAUUGAGGCGCCGCGGCUGCGGGAGCUGAAAAGGAAGGAGGAGCCGCCGCGGGACUGAGACGGGGGCAGAGCCGAAGAGACAGACAGACACAGAGAAGGAAACGAGGAGGAGGAUGUCUCACCGGGCGACCAGCGCCUGGAUCAGCUCGUGACUUACAGCGGCGGGCCUCGGACCCCAGCGCAGACUCGGACUUUUGUCUUUGGGGGCCCGUGCUCUGCCCUCCCUGGUUUCCGGCAGGACCCGGAGGAGCCGGCGUGCCUCUCUGCCCUCCAGCCUUCUUCACCAUGUCCAAGAUGCCGGCCAAAAAGAAGAGCUGCUUCCAGAUCACCAGUGUCACCACGGCCCAGGUGGCCACUAGCAUCACCGAGGACACUGAGAGCUUGGACGACCCGGACGAGUCACGUACAGAGGACGUCUCCUCCGAGAUUUUCGACGUCUCUCGGGCCACGGAUUAUGGCCCUGAGGAGGUCUGCGAGCGCAGCUCUUCCGAAGAGACGCUUAACAAUGUUGGGGAUGCGGAGACUCCCGGGACCGUCUCCCCAAACCUCCUUCUGGAUGGGCAGCUGGCAGCGGCGGCUGCUGCUCCCGCCAACGGAGGAGGAGUCGUUUCGGCCCGGAGCGUGUCUGGGGCGCUCGCCAGUACCCUGGCGGCGGCCGCCACUUCGGCCCCCGCCUCAGGAGCACCCGGCGGCCCUCCGGUCGCGGGCUCAUCCGCCGGGCCAGUGACUGCAGCCCCAUCUCAGCCUCCCACCACUUGUAGUUCCCGUUUUCGCGUGAUCAAGCUGGACCACGGGAGCGGAGAGCCCUAUCGACGCGGCCGAUGGACGUGUAUGGAAUACUAUGAGCGGGAUUCAGACAGCAGCGUCCUGACUAGAUCCGGGGAUUGCAUUAGACACAGCAAUACUUUUGACCAGACUGCGGAGCGGGACAGCGGCCUGGGCGCCACCGGAGGGUCGGUGGUGGUAGUAGUGGCCUCCAUGCAGGGGGCGCACGGGCCCGAGUCGGGAACUGACAGCUCCUUGACUGCUGUGUCACAGCUACCCCAGUCGGAGAAAAUGAGCCAGCCCACUCCGGCCCAGCCGCAGAGUUUUAGCGUUGGGCAGCCACAGCCGCCGCCGCCACCCGUAGGUGGGGCUGUGGCUCAAACCUCGGCUCCGCUGCCGCCGUUCCCUGGAGCCGCGACCGGGCCGUCGCCAAUGAUGGCAGCCGCGCAGCCCAGUCAGCCCCAGGGAACGGGGCCCGGGGGACAGACUCUGCCGCCGACGAAUGUAACCCUGGCGCAGCCGGCUAUGUCCCUGCCUCCGCAGCCGGGCCCUGCAGUCGGCGCUUCUGCUGCGCAGCAGCCCCAGCAGUUCGCGUAUCCUCAGCCUCAGAUACCGCCCGGACAUUUGCUGCCCGUCCAGCCCUCCGGCCAGAGUGAGUACCUGCAGCAGCACGUGGCCGGCCUGCAGCCGCCAAGCCCCGCGCAGCCGUCGUCCACCGGCGCCGCAGCGAGCCCCGCCACGGCGGCUAGCCUUCCCGUGGGCACCGGCCAGAAUGUCUCCUCGGUGGGCGCGCAGCUCUUGGGCGCGUCUUCCCAGCCCAGCGAAGCCAUGGCCCCCCGGACGGGACCAGCGCAAGGUGGGCAGGCCGCGCCAUGUCAGCCGGCUGGAGUGCCCCCGGCUACUGUGGGAGGCGUGGUGCAGCCGUGCAUGGGUCCUGCCGGGGCUGGGCAGCCCCAGUCCGUGCCUCCACCGCAGAUGGGUGGCAGUGGUCCGCUGUCAGCCGUACCUGGUGGCCCUCACGCCGUGGUGCCCGGAGUUCCAAACGUGCCUGCAGCCGUGCCCGCUCCAAGCGUGCCUAGUGUGUCUACCACUUCUGUUACUAUGCCAAAUGUACCCGCGCCUCUGGCCCAGUCUCAACAGCUGAGCAGCCAUACGCCAGUCAGCAGGAGCAGCAGCAUAAUCCAGCACGUUGGGCUGCCCUUAGCGCCAGGCACACACAGUGCACCAACAAGUCUACCACAGUCUGACCUAAGCCAGUUUCAGACUCAGACCCAACCUUUAGUCGGGCAAGUCGACGAUACUAGAAGAAAAUCAGAACCCCUACCUCAACCACCACUUUCUCUCAUUGCUGAAAAUAAGCCUGUUGUGAAGCCGCCUGUUGCAGAUGCCCUGGCAAACCCCCUUCAGUUAACACCUAUGAACAGUCUGGCCACCUCUGUAUUCAGCAUAGCUAUUCCUGUUGAUGGUGAUGAAGACAGGAAUCCUUCAACUGCUUUCUACCAAGCGUUCCAUUUGAACACGUUACAGGAAUCAAAGAGCCUCUGGGAUAGAAUUUUUUUUAGAAUUCAGCAUCGGAGGAGGAAUGUGACAUAAUAAUGAUCGAAAGCCGAAAGUUUAAAAGUUGUGAUGCCCUCACAUGGUUGGAGGGUUAUUCUAGCUUCUAAGGACUGAAUGUUGUCCACAAGAGUGUCAUCAGGUCAUAAAUUGUGCAUCUGGGGGAGGUGUUGUAGCCAUUGACAACAAAAUAGAACAAGCAAUGGAUCUGGUGAAAAGCCAUUUGAUGUAUGCAGUAAGAGAAGAAGUGGAAGUUUUAAAGGAACAAAUAAAAGAAUUAGUUGAAAGAAACUCUUUACUUGAACGAGAAAAUGCACUGUUAAAAUCUCUUUCAAACAAUGAUCAAUUAUCCCAACUCCCAACCCAACAGGCCCAUCCUGGUAGCACUUCUCAACAGCAAGCAGUGAUAGCACAGCCUCCGCAGCCAACGCAACCUCCACAGCAGCCGAAUGUCUCCUCAGCAUAAAGCUUUCUUAAGCCUCAUUAAGAAAAAAACUGAAAGCAAUCUAUCCUUGUGUGCCACUGGUGUUCUUUCCACUUUAUACGAAAGCAAGUAGCCAUGCUUUGGUUGUGUGUUUGGCCUUUUCAGUAUUAGACAAUCAUUCUACAAGAGCUUUUCCUCUCUCUGAAAUGUCAUGCAGCGCUGUUGAUGUCCAGUUCUAUGUCAUCAGUACACAAGGAGAAUAAUGGGGUUUAUUAAAGCGAGCAAAGUCUGCAUUUUACCUGGUGCGCAUGAGUGGGGUCUUUAAGAGUUUUGGUGGCUCUCCCAUGUUUCCUAUUACCCUUGGAUUUACCCUGAGCCUUCCUAUCACAUUAUAAAUAACAGUUCAUCUAAAGAGCCACUUUUCUUUCAAUAUCAGUAACAUUUGCCUACGUAAGUUUUCAUUUAUUUGUGUUUUAUUUAUUACAGGGCUGCUAUUUUCAUAAUGUACAUGAACAAUGUCACAGAACUUUUUUAAUUUUUUUGAAUAAUUAUAAGUAUCAGUAAAGGAAGUGAAAGACAGGAUUGCAUUUAGUAGAUAAAACGUUUAGGCAAUAAUUGAACAAAAGAAUCCUGGCAUAUUUCUAACACUAAUGGCAAUUUACUUUUGGUAUUUAUUUUCAGUAGUAAAGACCCAGCUUGAAUGUAAAUUUUGUAUAGUGUAAGUAUGAAGAACAUAGUGCAACUGUACAGGUAGUCACCAGUUAUUGUGAUAUAAUAAAUAAUUGGGCUAUUUUGAUGAAGAAAACUUUGUUCAUUUGUUUCUACUUUCUAAGAGAAAUUGCCACGAUUCCUCUGCUUUUCAACAUUUCGUAUGACUUUUUUUUCGGGUGGGAAUAAAAAGCUGUGAAAUUGUUCAACCUACUUUGUAACCAAAGAAGCAAAGCUGUGUAAUGGAGUUUUUUGGGGUUUUUUUUGUUUUUUUUUUUUUUUGUCUUUUUUUUAUAAUGCACAUUCUUUAUGUAUUUUUAUUUAGUGUUUUCUCAGUCACAAUUUUCUUUGCUGUCUAGCAUGAUCUGCAUGACCUAUAAUCUUUGAACCACUUUCGUACCUCAUGUUUUUAUCCAGCACUCUUAUUGUAAUAUGUACUAGUCUGUGAACAAUGUCAAAUAAAAGAGAACGAACAGGUAGUUUGGUGGAGCUGAGCUAGUGUACAAUACACUAGUUGUAAAAAAAAAAAAAAAAAGUGAGCCAUCUUUUGUUCAUUUAAAAUGGUGUUUUGAAUUUCGUAUGCAGAAAACGUUUUGUUACAUUGCAGAUUUUAAUGUAUUUAAUAAAUGCAACAUGCAGAUUAAGUGCAGUGUAUACUGAGUAUUUAAAUUAAAAUGUACAUUUCAUAAAUACAGUUUCAAAAGAAAGCAUCAUUUUGUGUAUACUAACACAUUAAGUGUAUGUCAGAAAUUGAUGUAUAAAUAUAUAUUUUAACACAUUUUCUGAAAUUAAACUGCAGUUUUGUUGAAAUAUUUGGCUCUAUAUGUGUUCAAAAUUUGACUAGAUUUGUAUUUUCACAAUUCAAAAUACUCCUUAAAGACCUGUUAAUAAUGACUUACUGAUAGUUCUUAAAUUUUCAAAUUAAAACAAUUUAAAGAAUGCAAGAAUAGUGAGCAAUAUUUGUACUCAAUAUUCAUAUUAUGUUAGUGAUACUGAAGUAGGAAAUCCUUGUCUACCAAAACUUUUACUUGAAUUCAGAAAGGUGCCUGUAGAAAUUAAUAUGCGCUGCAUCUGUAGCCAGCUAGCUAAUCAGAGUCAAUGAGAACCAGUAGUUAGUUCUCCCUGUUAAAAGAUGUGUUUAUUUGAAGUAAAAAUUUGAUCAGAUUAGCCACAAACGAGGCAUAAAAUUGGGAUGUACAUGAGAUUGCCAAAUAUUUUCUAUUCUAGUUGCGCUGUAAGACAUUGAACAAAAUGUUAAUGAAUAACAUUAUAAAUAAAGGAACUAACUACAUAGGCUUGAGUAAGCAACCCUAAGGAUGUGUAGUAAGAUUCCAAGUAGAGCUGCUACAGGUGAGAUACUUAAUGGAAUGUGAAACUUCGCUGUUGGACUGUUAACCAGAGAGGUUUGCUGGCAGUGCCCCUCCAGUGCUAACUGUGAUAUGUGAUAUUUAAUACAGGUGGAGAAAAACUAGUCUUAGAAAAAGAGGUGGGAUUUUUGUGAAAAUGGAUUCCAUUUUGAUUCUGGGGCUGGAAAAACACUUUAUAAACAAAGUAAUAGUCUCCAAGGAAAUGAAUAAUAUGUUAAGGUUUAAAAUGGUAACAGCAGUUAUUACUACUUUUAUAUUAAGAAAAAAAUAGAAAAGGAGAGAAAACAUGGGUAGUUCACAGAAGAGAUAGAGCAGUUUCUAAAGGUUCAACUUCUAGUAACCUAAAAAAUGCAAAUUAAUAUUUUUAGCGAAUUGUAAUAAGUGUCCAAAGUAGCAGGACUUAACAUAGAAAGACAGGCUUUCCUGUGUACUUUUAGAAAGUAAUUUGGCAAUAUGUUUCAAGAGCCUUAAAUAAUAAGCUUUUCAGUAUAACGACAGAAGAUACUCAAUUCAUGGUGCAUUGUUCAAAAAUGCAAAAUUAUUGUCGUGCCUGCCCUCUGCUUUCCCAUCAUCCCCCCCUGCUGUCAAAAUCCAAACUAUCCCUACUGUCAACCCUUCCCCCAGCUGAUUGUUUAGGAUCUUAAGUAACUUCCAGUUCAGCUAUUUGAGUCUCCAGCUAUUUGGAGUCUCACAGGAAUGCCAUCUAUCUAAUUCUGUCAGUGUAAUGCCCAUAGAGCAAGGUCCCACAUAAGCUUUUCUGUUUUAGCCAAUAAAUCAUAAGUAAAAAUUUUUCUGAUACGGUAAUUGUCUACAGUUCAAACCUAACUUUCCCCAAAUAAAAUUUAUUUUAGGUUGUUCCAAUGUGAUCUCACAGCUUGCCACACCAAAAACAAAUAGUAGGGGUUAGGAGGCGUUAAAGGUACAGUUUCCUUAACUCCUGAUUGUCCAAAAUAGCUGAAUUUUUCAAAUUCUAUUUAUAAUAUCCUAUACUAAUUUAGAAGUAUUGAGAUAACGUUUUAUAAUCAAGCCUCCAGUGAUUGGGGAUCACAACUGCCAUUAUUCACAAGAAUUUUCACAGGUGAAUGAUUGUUUCUCCAAGUUGCAAACUCCAGUAAUUCAUGGACCUUAAAAAAAAAAAAAAAAAA